AUUGAACGCUGGCGGCAUGCCUUACACAUGCAAGUCGAACGGCAGCACGGGUGCAUGCACCUGGUGGCGAGUGGCGAACGGGUGAGUAAUACAUCGGAACAUGUCCUGUAGUGGGGGAUAGCCCGUCGAAAGCCGGAUUAAUACCGCAUACGAUCCACGGAUGAAAGCUGGGGCCCUUCGGGCCUCGCGCUAUAGGGUUGGCCGAUGGCUGAUUAGCUAGUUGGUGGGGUAAAGGCCUACCAAGGCGACGAUCAGUAGCUGGUCUGAGAGGACGACCAGCCACACUGGGACUGAGACACGGCCCAGACUCCUACGGGAGGCAGCAGUGGGGAAUUUUGGACAAUGGGCGAAAGCCUGAUCCAGCAAUGCCGCGUGUGUGAAGAAGGACUUCGGGUUGUAAAGCACUUUUGUCAGGAAAGAAAUCCUUGACUCUAAUACAGUCGGGGGAUGACGGUACCGGAAGAAUAAGCACCGGCUAACUACGUG
This 486-nucleotide ribosomal RNA is filed under the name uncultured bacterium. RNAcentral's name for it is "partial 16S ribosomal RNA". It matches the Rfam family "Bacterial small subunit ribosomal RNA", at positions 30 to 507 of the family's 1533-position model. The record is from RNAcentral.